AAGUUCCCCUAUUUUUUCCCCCUAGAUCAACUCUACAUUAUUGCUAUUAUCAAACCCGAUGCUGUGAUUAGCAGAAAAUCUCAAGAGAUUAGACAAAAUAUUAUGAAGGCAGGCUUUGUCAUAGAGAUCGAGGAGAAGAGAGCGCUCACUGAACGACAAGUCAGGGACUUCUAUUAUCGGAUAGCAG
RNAcentral lists this long non-coding RNA (187 nucleotides) under Ursus americanus (American black bear). RNAcentral's name for it is "lncRNA (ENSUAMG00000005879.1)". Lineage: Eukaryota; Metazoa; Chordata; Mammalia; Carnivora; Ursidae. The record is from RNAcentral.